This 5761-nucleotide long non-coding RNA is filed under the name Nicotiana benthamiana. Its description in RNAcentral is "long non-coding RNA (NBEN_LNC003632)". Lineage: Eukaryota; Viridiplantae; Streptophyta; Magnoliopsida; Solanales; Solanaceae. The record is from RNAcentral.
AUGUAUAACCAAGGACAAAAAAAGAGAUUACAUAGUGUUUUUUUGUUACCUGAGCAACGAUAACAACAACAACAACAACAACAACUACCCAGUAUACUCCCACCAGGUGGGGUCUGGGGAGGGUAAUAUGUAGGCAGUCUUACCCCUACCCAAAAGGGCAGUCUUACCUGAGCAACGAUAACAUAGAGUGGAAAUGUGACAAAACUAUACCAGAAUUGAGAAAUAACCCUGCAGCGACAAGUUAAAACGGGCCAUGCCACAAUGAGUGUAUUCAGCAACAAGUUAACAAGUGAGACAAAGAUAGGUACCUAAAUGACAAGCAAAUCAUGAAAAAUGUUUGAUUUUUUAUGAAACACGAUGAUCCCUUAAAUUCCCACUGUAUCAGAAAAGGAAAUCAGGGUUAGCCCCUAUGGAGAGAAUUUUGUAUCACUACAUAAAACAAUUAUCGCUUUUGCCUUUUCUAAGUAUUAGAUGAAAAUAUAAAAUAGACACAAACCACAUAUUAAAACCUCUAGUUUGCUCUCUGUCAUAUUUUCUUACACGUAGCUCAAUAUAACUUUGUAGUUUGCUUUAAGAGUUAAAAAGUUAAAUAAUGUUCUUUAGACUUGUAGAAGUUAUGUAGAGGCUUCCAAAAGGCAAAACUAUCAAGAAUUUAAAACAAGAAAAACACAAGGCAGAAGAUGUCACUCGCUCUGAUCACAAAAUAACAUGCAGUCAAUGGAGGGUAUGUGAAUAAUGUCCAGUACGCAAAACUUGCAUCUAUUGGCUACAAAAAGGCAAAUAUUCCUAAUAACUAUCUGCAGUAACCUAACUAGGAUCAAUGUUUCGUCAUAAGCGACUCUAAUUAUUCCCAUUGACAACAAGACAAAAUUAUUUUAAUUCAUUAUAAGCAGUAUAAGCAAAACCUCAAACAGAAAACUAAGUUCCCAUCUUACCAACGACCAAAUGUAUGUUGCCAUCUCAAAUGCAUUCUGCAUAUCAUUCAUCCAGAAGAGCAAUUAAUAAGGCAUAUAGGAGGCAAUAUAUCAUUGACCUAAAUUUAAUUAGCGCUCAUCUUAUUAAACCUUUUGAAUUUGAGGAUAACAUUAAUGUUAUUUUGCAUACCUGGAAUGAUAUAAAUUGUAUUAUCCGCAGCAGAAGCCUAGGCUUCCUAAACCAGAAGAGCUCGUCUCUGAGGUUAAACAAAUAAAAUUCUUCCCUUGGAUUUCUAUCAAUGAUUUCAACUGUCAGCUUAACCACCACAUGGUGAAGCUUGGUACCAACCAGAAGUAUUAACUUCCAAAAAUAAUUUCGAAAAGGUCAGAAUGGAAUAAGAAUGGAUUAUGCUUCUGAAGCAAAAAGAGAACAGAAAAUAACAAGUACAUAUAAUAAUAGGAAAGAAAGAUAUCCAGAAGUAGAUAAUAGUGCCUGGACAACGAUCAUCAAAACUAUUCAUCAUCUUUCUGAAAGAACUAAAUUAACAAUAGAACGACAAGGAUUCAAAACUAAUCAAUAGUAAACCUAUUACACAUUUUGGCCUUUUGCUUCAUUUACAUAUUAAUCUUUCCUGGUUCCUCUUCUACUACUGUAAAGAAGGGAUACGAUCAGGAAACAAUUCAAUAAAAGUACAAAUGUGCUUUUACAACAUCCUCUUUAUUUUUACUUUCAAAUGCUAAGCAAUUAGGGAUUUUGCGAUGCUGAAGUAGCAAAACAAACUGAAUCUAAGCAAGUCUGAAGUUGUAAAGUAGCUCGUUAAGCGAAUUUCCAUUACAGUAGUGAGAACUAAAAGAAAAUUUGAUAAAAUUAUCUGUUAGAUCUAUACAUGCUGUAAGUAGAAAUUAUAGGGAAUAUCGAGAGGAUAAAUUACCAUGAAAGCUUAAAAAUACACAAGGCAGAAUACAUAGACAAACACUUAAACUAUUAACGAAAGUUCACUUGAACACCUUAACUAAGACAUUUUCCACCAAAACACCUGCACCAGUUUAACACGUCCGACCUGUAGGGAAUAUAUUGUUAAUGAUUAUAUCCACCUUUAUGUUGUUGAUAAAAAUAACCAUAUUGAUAAAAUAACCCUAUUUUUUUAGUUGUCUUAGUACAACAUAAAGGUCGGACGUGUUAAAUUGGUACAGUAAAAGUAUAGUAAAAGUGUUUCGAUAGAAAAUAUCUUAGUUGAGGUAUUCAAGUGAACUUUCGUCUAUGUAUUAUGCCAAUUCACAAUGUAUGACGAAAAUCCAUAGUGGAGCACUGUAACCAAAGAAGAAUCAAAAGAAUUAUUUAGAUGAAUAAUUCAUAGUGGAAUACUGCAAUAAAAGAAAGAAAAAAAGAGAAAAAUCUUAGACUUUUGCCGUAACCAUGAUAUCUUACAGUUUGUGAAAUGUUGUAUUUAGUCUUCAAACGGACAAAUAUGUCAGGUGUUGUUUAUAGUCACAACAUAAUUGGACAUCAACAGCAAACCAUGCCUAGAGAAAGGAAAAGCGCGAAGUGUUGAUUGUCAUCAGCCAGGAACACACACCAAGGAAUAGUUAAGUGAUAGGUUUCCAAUGUUUUAGCUUUAUAUUUUGAUGAUCUAACAAAUUUAUUGUUAAAGAAUCAGAUAAGGAACCUGAUACAUUUGGUACAUAUUUUAAUCAACGGACUCCGGCUAAUAUGAACUGCUACAACUUCAGAAGAUAGAGAACCAACACAAGGACCUGAUACUCUUGUGUUUCCCAGACAGCAGUAUGAAGUCAACUGUGUACAGCUAGAGAGUGACUGCCUUUGACCAACCGAGUGAUUACAUCAUUCAAGUGGUAUUAAUAAGAGCACUACAACAAAACAUGACUUGAAUAUUUGAGAACUCACUUCAAGCAUUCAAGCCAUCUGACAUACGAGUAUUCAAUUCUCAAGUGUAUCAAGAACAAAGUUUAACACUACUAUGGACCAGUUCCUAAAUAUAGCAUAUUGUUUUCCUUAGUUAAGUUGUAACUUUAUAAUUGUUCUUCAUUAUAAUUCAUAAUUUACUUAGCUAGAACCGUUGCUUAGGCACCCCUUGUAAAACCAUAAACCCUUAGUGUUUGUGUAAUGACUAGAGUUAGUCAUGAGUUGAAGUAUUUGUAAUAGGUGUAUUACAAGUCAGUGAGGGAUUACGAGUUUAAUUAAUUCCUAGAUUGCAUAGGUUGUAAUCUAAAAGUUGCUCAUAGUGAAGUUGAAAUCCUACCAGUGUAUGUCGUGGUAUUUUAUCCCCUUGAACAUGGAUUUUUCCACAUAAAACUCCCUAUUUUAUUUACUUACUGUUUCAUAAGCAUUCUCAGCGGGAACUCAUAAGAGGACUUGAUCUCUCUAUAGUUUGGUGGACUCAUAUAAAUUAUCAAUUGGAAUCACAACAGGUUCCUCAUAUUAGGCUAACACCUAGAAAGGAUCCUUAUGGCUUCUCCAACAAAUUUCAAAGAAGGUCAAUCUACGUAUAGACCACCCGGGCUCAAUGGGCAAUACUAUGGGUGGUGGAAGACGAGAAUGCAUGAUUUCAUCAUGGCAGAAGACUCUGAGUUGUAGGAUAUCAUAUGUGAUGGUCCUUAUAUCCCAACAAAGAGUGUCGGAUAUCUUCCAUUGACGAUACCAAAGACUAUAAAAGAAUACACCGAUGCAGAUAGAAAAGCUUUGGAGAAAAAUUUUUGUGCCAAGAAAAUUUUGGUGUGUGGCAUAGGACCUGAUGAAUACAACAGGAUCUCGGCUUGUCAAACUGCCAAGGAGAUAUGGGAAGCUUUGCAAACAGUACAUGAGGGAACCAUUCAAGUAAAGUAAUCUAAGAUUGAUAUGCUUACCACUGCGUAUGAGCUCUUUAGGAUGAAAGACGAUGAGUCUAUUCAAGGCAUGCACACAAAAUUCAUUUCCAUAAUAAAUGAGUUACACUCAAUUGGUGAAGUCAUUCCUAGGAACAAGCUUGUGAGGAAAUUUCUUAGCAUCCUGCGUAGUUUAUGGGAAAGUAAAGUGAAUGCUAUUAUUGAAGCAAAGGACCUGCAGAAGCUAACCAUAGAUGAGCUAGUUGGAAAUCUGAAAACCUAUGAAAUGAAGAGAAAGAUAGUAGUGAAAGAAGAGAACCAAAGAAGGAAAAGAACCUGGUACUCAAAGAUGAAAGCAAUGACCUAAGUGAGGAGGACAGUGACAUGGCUUACUUAACCAAGGUUUUAGAAGAUGGUCGGAAAAAAUGAAGGAAUACUGAAAAAGGGCAACUCCAGCAGACCAAAGAACUAUUAUCUCUGCCAUAAGUGUGGGAAGCCGGGGCAAUUCAUAAAGGAUUGCCCUCUCAUGUAGCAAGAACACUCCAAAUACAACCCUGGUAAAGCAGCAACGAAGAACCCGGUUCCUAACAAACACUUCAAAAGGAAGAGAUCUGCUGACAAUGUGGUGAAGCAGACUCUUGCAGUAUGGGGAGAUUCCCCCGGUGAAUCUGAAGAAGAAAUCGAUGCAGGAGACAACUCCAUAAUGGCAGUUAAAAGUGAAGUAAAUGAAUAUGAUUCUCUAUUUACUUUAAUGGCUCAAUGAUGAAGAAAAUGAUAAUGAUGAGGUAAACUUCAGGGAUAUUCAGAGAAAUCUGAAAUCCUACUCCCCUAAUAAACUCAUGUCAUUAGCAAAUGUAUUAAUUGAUGCCUAUCAUAGUCUUGUAGAUUAUAAAGAUACCUUGACCUUAGAACUAGGAGAAGCUGAACAAACUAGAGAUGAUUUGGUAGUGUGUGUAGUUAAUAUAAAGGAAAACAUAAGUAAUCUUGAAAAUGAAAAGGUGGUUCUAACUGAAAAAAUUGCUAGUGUAGAACAUGAAAUAGAUGAUAUUGUGGUUGUAGCUGUUGACUAUAAGGACACUAUUGAGAUUUUCAGUAAAGAAAAAGAGGCCUUAGUUGUAGAGGUGAAUGCUAUUGAGCAAAAGAGAAAUAACCUUCUUGUAGUUGUAAGCACGUGAUUUUUGUCCUACAUGAAGAUAACUCCUAAAAAUAAGUCAAAAUAAUUUUUAUUGAAAUUUUAGGAAUUUUCCUUUAUUUAGUCGCAUUUCAUGCAUUCUAAUACUUAAAAAUCAAAAUAAUAAAUACAAAAAAAUAUCUUGCAUAGCAUUUAGGUCUUAUCGGAUAUCAUUUAGUUUUCAUAAAAAUUAAAAGUCAAAAAAAUAUUAUAUUUUUACACCUUUUCCUUUUGUUGAUUUUUCUCUUUUAAUUUAGGAUUAAGUAGCUUUUAUAAUUUUCAUAAUUAGUUUAAUUUUAUAUAAUUUAGGUUUUCAAUUCUAGAAUUUUUAUAAAAAGAAGAUAAAAAGAAAUUGGGAAUAAAAAAUAAAAAGAACCUUCCCCAAAAAUAUUUCACCAAAAAUAUUUAUCCACAUAUGAGACCUCCCCCAAAAUUAUUUCCCCCCAAAAAAUUUUCCGCAUAAAACCUUUUCCCAAAUACUUUCCCACAUAAUACCCCACCCCACACACUCUAUAAAAUCAUCUUAAAACUAUACAAAAAAGAACGAAGGAAAACUAUAAAAAAGGGGGACGGAAAAACAACAAAGAAACGAAAAAAUACAAAAGAGAAAAACGCCAAAAAAAGUUAAAGAGGAAUAAACUUUGCGUGAUGGGUUUUCUUCGUAAGAUUGAAGAAUAACUCUUCAACAACAACAACUACCCAGUAUACUCCCACCAGGUGGGGUCUGGGAAGAGUAAUAUGUAGGCAGUCUUAUCCCUACCCAAAAGGGCAGAGAGGCUGCUUCCAUGCGACCCUCGGCGCAUAGGACAGAAUGAAAAGCUGCAUUGGAAAACAAAGACAAAAUUAGUAACCA